Molecule: ribosomal RNA, 305 nt
Filed under: uncultured bacterium
Lineage: Bacteria
Description: bacterial SSU rRNA
Rfam family: Bacterial small subunit ribosomal RNA
Source: RNAcentral
CUACGGGAGGCAGCAGUCGAGAAUCAUUCACAAUGGGGGAAACCCUGAUGGUGCGACGCCGCGUGGGGGAAUGAAGGUCUUCGGAUUGUAAACCCCUGUCAUGUGGGAGCAAAUUAAAAAGAUAGUACCACAAGAGGAAGAGACGGCUAACUCUGUGCCAGCAGCCGCGAUAAUACAGAGGUCUCAAGCGUUGUUCGGAAUCACUGGGCGUAAAGCGUGCGUAGGCUGUUUCGUAAGUCGUGUGUGAAAGGCGCGGGCUCAACCCGCGGACGGCACAUGAUACUGCGAGACUAGAGUAAUGGAGG